Molecule: ribosomal RNA, 1050 nt
Filed under: Triticum aestivum (bread wheat)
Lineage: Eukaryota; Viridiplantae; Streptophyta; Magnoliopsida; Poales; Poaceae
Description: partial small subunit ribosomal RNA
Source: RNAcentral
AUGCUCUCUCAAGGUUUCAAAAGGUCUAAUUAUGAUAGUUGUGUUUAUUUGAAAACUGUGAAAGGUUCAACUAUUUAUUUGCUCCUUUAUGUUGAUGAUAUGCUUAUUGCUGCAAAGAGUAUGUCAGAUAUUAAUGAACUAAAGAAGCAAUUGAGUAAUGAAUUUGAGAUGAAAGAUUUGGGUGCAGCAAAGAAAAUACUUGGCAUGGAAAUAUCUAGAGAUAGACCAUCUGGAAAAGUGUAUCUCAGUCAGAAGGGAUAUAUUGAUAAAGUUCUUCGUCGUUUUAAUAUGCAUAAUGCCAAGCCGGUGAGUACUCCGUUAGCUGCACACUUCAAAUUAUCAUCAGCUUUAUGUCCUAAGUCAGAUGCAGAUAUUGAGUACAUGUCUAGAGUUCCCUAUUCGAGUGCAGUUGGUUCACUUAUGUAUGCCAUGGUUUGUUCUCGUCCGGAUUUAUCUUAUGCAUUGAGUGUUGUCAGUAGAUACAUGGCUAAUCCUGGAAAAGAGCAUUGGAAAGCAGUUCAGUGGAUUUUCAGAUACCUGCGUGGUACUUCUAAUGCUUAUUUACAAUUUGGGAAAACUGGAGAUGGACUUGUUGGUUUUGUUGAUUCUGAUUUUGCUGGUGAUUUGGAUAAGAGAAGAUCACUCACAGGUUAUGUUUUCACCAUUGGUGGUUGUGUUGUGAGUUGGAGAGCAACUUUGCAGUCUAUCGUGGCGUGUUCCACUACUGAUGCCGAGUAUAUGGCUAUUUCUGAGGCAUGCAAAGAAGCUAUCUGGUUGAGAGGUUUGUACACUAAGCUUUGUGGAGACUCAUCUUGCCCUACCGUAUUUAGUGACAGUCAAAGUGCUAUAUAUCUUACAAAGAAUCCAAUGUAUCAUGAGAGGACAAAGCACAUUGAUGUCAGAUUUCAUUAUAUUCGAGAUGUUGUUGCUGAAGGCGAUUUGAAGGUAUGCAAGAUAAGUACUCAUGAUAAUCCAGCUGAUAUGAUGACAAAGCCAGUUCCGACCAAUAAGUUUGAGCUUUGCUCAGGCUUAGUUGGUAUUUCUCACUAG